RNAcentral lists this ribosomal RNA (500 nucleotides) under uncultured bacterium. RNAcentral's name for it is "partial 16S ribosomal RNA". It matches the Rfam family "Bacterial small subunit ribosomal RNA", at positions 30 to 523 of the family's 1533-position model. The record is from RNAcentral.
AUUGAACGCUGGCGGAAUGCUUUACACAUGCAAGUCGAACGGCAGCACGGACUUCGGUCUGGUGGCGAGUGGCGAACGGGUGAGUAAUACAUCGGAACGUGCCAAAUCGUGGGGGAUAACGUAGCGAAAGCUACGCUAAUACCGCAUACGAUCUAAGGAUGAAAGCGGGGGAUCGCAAGACCUCGCGCGAUUGGAGCGGCCGAUAUCAGAUUAGGUAGUUGGUGGGGUAAAGGCCCACCAAGCCAACGAUCUGUAGCUGGUCUGAGAGGACGACCAGCCACACUGGAACUGAGACACGGUCCAGACUCCUACGGGAGGCAGCAGUGGGGAAUUUUGGACAAUGGGCGAAAGCCUGAUCCAGCCAUUCCGCGUGCAGGAUGAAGGCCCUCGGGUUGUAAACUGCUUUUGUACAGGACGAAAAGGUUUCUACUAAUACUAGGAGCUCAUGACGGUACUGUAAGAAUAAGCACCGGCUAACUACGUGCCAGCCGCCGCAGUAA